GUGAGAUGGGGCUGGGGGUGGGCAGGGAAAAGAUGCAUCAUUCACUUUCAUUGAGGUCACACUGCCCUUCUCUGCUCUUUUCAGAGAAAAGCUUUUUUUUUUUUUUUUUUUAAUACAUGCACGCCACACUCACUCACACGUGCAUGCUCCCUGCAAGAAGCCAACAAAGCAUUUUGGUCAUCUAUAGGCCCCUCAGCUUCUUCAAAGUUGAGUAAGAUUAAAAAAGCCUGACAUCUCCGAGAUUCCUCAGCAACGGUUUAUGUACCUGCAUAGGCAGAUGAACAAGAGACUGGGGGAGGCAUUAAAACACAUGUACGUGUAUGAUGGAUAGAGAGAGAGAGAGAGAGAGAGAGAGAGAGAGAGGAACAGAGCAAGAAUAUGAUACAGAUCAAUGUCUCCCCAUAUUGGGGGAGUCUUUUUGUUUCAGGCCACAGUGGUAGUGCAUUGGAAGGGUUCUGGAAUUUCAGAACACAAAGUAGCAGUUUUAAAUAAUGAGAGAAGAUUCCACAUGGAACGCUCAUCUGGCUGUGGCAGCCUGUGACUGAAUGAGAGAAAAGUGCCCUAGAAGCUAUUCAUUACGAAUUCACUGGAAGCUCUCAAACGAGGCUGGCAGAAGCUGAAAUUGAAGUGGUCUCUGACCUAAUUUUCUUCUGCAUGAAACAUCUGCAUCAAGGCUCUCUUUGAUGUAUUCCACUUGGCUCUGUCUACGGGAUUGUAUCACAUGGCCUCCGUGUUGCCUCCUUAUUGAAAGACAUUUCCAGCCUGUGCAAGGUAUUGUCACCUUCCUGCUUCUAUGCUUCACGAAGUUUCACCCCACCUCCUCUUCCUGGAAAUCUUCAUGUGCAGAAUGUUCAGUAGGUCAUCUCAGAGCUUCAUUCCAACUCCACUCAAGCUGCUUCGUGCCUACAAGGACAGUAGGAGAAGAGGACAGACAGGGACUCAGGCUUGAAGGCAGUGGGCACGAGGAGUGAGGGGAAGUAGGAAACAGAGGAAGAGGGUAAAAUCGCAGAAGAGAAAGAAGUGAGAGCAAAGAAGCCACUGAGUGUGUGGACAGCAUAGAAAAUGGCUGGAGAUUACAGGGGGGAUGGUACUCUUAAGCUGGUGGGACAAUCAAAAUAUACGAAUUGUAAAGGUUAAGUGAAAUGUUUAUUUUAUUCCUUUCUCCUCAGUCAGCCUGACUGAAU
This 1184-nucleotide long non-coding RNA is filed under the name Vulpes vulpes (red fox). RNAcentral's name for it is "lncRNA (ENSVVUG00000027341.1)". Lineage: Eukaryota; Metazoa; Chordata; Mammalia; Carnivora; Canidae. The record is from RNAcentral.